CCUACGGGUGGCAGCAGUGGGGAAUAUUGCACAAUGGGGGGAACCCUGAUGCAGCGACGCCGCGUGAGUGAAGAAGUAUUUCGGUAUGUAAAGCUCUAUCAGCAGGGAAGAAAAUGACGGUACCUGACGAAGAAGCCCCGGCUAACUACGUGCCAGCAGCCGCGGUAAUACGUAGGGGGCAAGCGUUAUCCGGAUUUAAUGGGUGUAAAGGGAGCGCAGACGGCUGUGCAAGUCUGGAGUGAAAGGCGGGGUCCCAACCCCCGGACUGCUCUGGAAACUGUAAAGCUGGAGAGCAGGAGAGGUAAGCGGAAUUCCUAGUGUAGCGGUGAAAUGCGUAGAUAUUAGGAGGAACACCAGUGGCGAAGGCGGCUUACUGGACUGCAACUGACGUUGAGGCUCGAAAGCGUGGGGAGCAAACAGGAUUAGAUACCCGGGUAGUC
Molecule: ribosomal RNA, 440 nt
Filed under: uncultured bacterium
Lineage: Bacteria
Description: partial 16S ribosomal RNA
Rfam family: Bacterial small subunit ribosomal RNA
Source: RNAcentral